CGAGCGUGACGUCGACUCGUUUCUGUCAGUGCCACCGAAAUUGCAAUUGGCGGAUCGUCGAGCGUGCGUUGCACCGAUCGGCUCCGGGUUGACGGUACGGUGUUCGACGAUACUUGUAUUCCAGUAUGACGGGGUGUAGCGCACCAAAGAGCACAAAUCACACGGAAGGUGGCAAAACUUUUACGCGGUGCCGGGCGGACGGACGAGACUGGCCAGCUCCGAAAGGGACCAGGAUAUGCGAAGUGCGUUCGCCUUGUUUACAGAGUGGCUUUGAAUUCUGCCCCCAAGGCUCCAAGAACCAGCACUCAUCCCCUGCAGCCACCAGCCAUUGCUCAUCCAUUCCCUUGUACGAAAUAAAUUUGAUCUAGAAG
This is a long non-coding RNA of Dermacentor albipictus, 371 nucleotides long. RefSeq lists it as uncharacterized. The record is from RefSeq and is a predicted model, not a curated record. NCBI's taxonomy places the organism in Eukaryota, Metazoa, Arthropoda, Arachnida, Ixodida, Ixodidae.